RNAcentral lists this long non-coding RNA (643 nucleotides) under Ananas comosus (pineapple). RNAcentral's name for it is "long non-coding RNA (ACOM_LNC042330)". Lineage: Eukaryota; Viridiplantae; Streptophyta; Magnoliopsida; Poales; Bromeliaceae. The record is from RNAcentral.
GUUUAUAAGAGACUUAGACACUAGUAAUAAUAACUGGGCUUAAGCAUUUUGGGCCGGUGGUUGGGCCCAACGAGUUAUUGUUGCUAGUGGGCUGGGUCGUUACAUUUGGUAUCAGAGCCGGUUCACCAGCUGGACAUGUGUGGCGAGUCUCGGCUGAGCCAGGGUCUGGAUGACGGGCUAGCGAGACGAGUCUCACAUCGCCUGGUGAUCUUGGGCUGUGUGUGUGAUUGGACUGACGAGGACGUCAGGGCCUUAACGGGGGGAGUCUGUGACACCCCAAUAGUCCCACAUCGGAUGGGAAUGGGGUUGUCAUUGGGUUUAUAAGAGACUUAGACACUAGUAAUAAUAACUGGGCUUAAGCAUUUUGGGCCGGUUGUUGGGUCCAACGAGUUAUUGUUGCUAGUGGGCUGGGUCGUUACAUAUUGUUGCUAGUGGGCUCGGUCGUUAUAUUUGGUAUCAGAGCCGGUUCACCAGCUGGACAUGUAUGGCAAGUCUCGGCUAAGCCAGGGUCUGGAUGACGGGCUAGCGAGACGAGUCUCACAUAACCUGGUGAUCUUGGGCUGUGUGUGAUUGGACUGACGAGGACGUAAGGACCUUAACGGGGGGAGUCUGUGACACCCCAAUAGUCCCACAUCGGAUGGGG